Molecule: small nuclear RNA, 143 nt
Organism: Mus spicilegus (steppe mouse)
Lineage: Eukaryota; Metazoa; Chordata; Mammalia; Rodentia; Muridae
Gene: U4
Rfam family: U4 spliceosomal RNA
About the family: U4 small nuclear RNA (U4 snRNA) is a component of the major U2-dependent spliceosome. The structure of U4 snRNA from yeast and human has been reported.
Source: Ensembl
AGCUUUGCACAGUGGCAGUAUUGUAGCCAAUGAGGUUUAUCCAAGGUGCAAUUAUUGCUAGUAGAAAAGAAGAGGAAAAGAAUAGCACCUACUUCUGACACUUUGGUUCUCGAGAAGUGCCAAUGGCUGCCUUCCCUUAGCAG